AUUGAACGCUGGCGGCAGGCCUAACACAUGCAAGUCGAGCGGAUGAAGGGAGCUUGCUCCUGGAUUCAGCGGCGGACGGGUGAGUAAUGCCUAGGUAUCUGCCUGGUAGUGGGGGAUAACGUCCGGAAACGGGCGCUAAUCCCGCAUACGUCCUGAGGGUGAAAGUGGGGGAUCUUCGGACCUCACGCUACCAGAUGAGCCUAGGUCGGAUUAGCUAGUUGGUGGGGUAAAGGCCUACCAAGGCGACGAUCCGUAGCUGGUCUGAGAGGCUGAUCAGUCACACUGGAACUGAGACACGGUCCAGACUCCUACGGGAGGCAGCAGUGGGGAAUAUUGGACAAUGGGCGAAAGCCUGAUCCAGCCAUGCCGCGUGUGUGAAGAAGGUCUUCGGAUUGUAAAGCACUUUAAGUUGGGAGGAAGGGCAGUAAGUUAAUACCUUGCUGUUUUGACGUUACCAACAGAAUAAGCACCGGCUAACUUCGUG
This 484-nucleotide ribosomal RNA is filed under the name uncultured bacterium. RNAcentral describes it as "partial 16S ribosomal RNA". It matches the Rfam family "Bacterial small subunit ribosomal RNA", at positions 30 to 507 of the family's 1533-position model. The record is from RNAcentral.